This 305-nucleotide ribosomal RNA is filed under the name uncultured bacterium. RNAcentral describes it as "bacterial SSU rRNA". It matches the Rfam family "Bacterial small subunit ribosomal RNA", at positions 332 to 636 of the family's 1533-position model. The record is from RNAcentral.
UUUAGCCUACGGGGCGCAGCAGUGAGGAAUAUUGGUCAAUGGGCGCGAGCCUGAACCAGCCAAGUCGCGUGAGGGAAGACGGUCCUAUGGAUUGUAAACCUCUUUUGUCGGGGAGCAAAAGACGCCACGCGUGGCGUUCCGCGAGUACCUGAAGAAAAAGCAUCGGCUAACUCCGUGCCAGCAGCCGCGGUAAUGCGGAGGAUGCGAGCGUUAUCCGGAUUUAUUGGGUUUAAAGGGUGCGCAGGCGGAAUGUCAAGUCAGCGGUAAAAUUUCGGGGCUCAACCCCGUCGUGCCGUUGAAACUGG